RNAcentral lists this small RNA (798 nucleotides) under Pan troglodytes (chimpanzee). Its description in RNAcentral is "retained intron". The record is from RNAcentral. Lineage: Eukaryota; Metazoa; Chordata; Mammalia; Primates; Hominidae.
GGUUCAACUCUGCCACCAACGUCGUGGUGUUGGCUGGCACCAACCGCCCUGACGUCCUGGACCCGGCCCUCAUGCGGCCUGGCUGGUUUCAUCGCCAGAUUUACACUGGUCCUCCUGACAUCAAAGGCAGGUCCUCCAUCUUUAAGGUCCACCUGCGCCCACUGAAGCUGGACGAGAGCCUCAAUAAGGACGCCCUGGCGAGGAAGCUGGCAGCGCUCACCCCAGGCUUCCCUGGUGUCCAUCAUACCCCAGGGCAAGGGGCUUGGCUACGCACAGUACCUGCCCCGGGAGCAGCAGCUCUACACCCAGGAGCAGCUCUUCGACCGCACGUGCAUGAUGCUCGGGGGCCGGGUGGCCGAGCAGCUGUGCUCCGGGUAGAUCACUGUGGGGGCUCAGGACGACCUGAGGAAGGUCACCCAGAGCGCCUACGCCCAGGUAAGGGUGGGCAUCCCCCGGCACGGGCCGCAGGAGGCUCUGUUGGGCGCAGGCUCAUCCUGGGUUCCGCACUGGCAGGUUGCGCAGUUUGGGGUGAGUGAGAAGCUGGGCCAGGUGUCCUUCGACUUUUCCCGACACGGCAAGGCCCUGGUGGAGAAGCCGUACGGCGAGGCGAGCGCCCAGCUCCUUGAUGACGAGGUCCGGCACCUCGUCAGUGCCACCUGCAGGCGCACCCUGGACCUGCUGACACAGUGCCGGGAGCAUGUGGAGAAGGUGGGCCAGCGGCUCCUGGAGAAGGCAGACAUGGUGGAGCUGCUGGGCGCCCGGCCCUUCGCGGAGAAGUCUACCUAUGAGGAGUUUGUA